Molecule: ribosomal RNA, 393 nt
Filed under: Staphylococcus succinus
Lineage: Bacteria; Bacillati; Bacillota; Bacilli; Caryophanales; Staphylococcaceae
Description: partial 16S ribosomal RNA
Rfam family: Bacterial small subunit ribosomal RNA
Source: RNAcentral
AAGGAGCUUGCUCCUUUGNNGUUAGCGGCGGACGGGUGANUAACACGUGGGUAACCUACCUAUAAGACUGGAAUAACUUCGGGAAACCGGAGCUAAUGCCGGAUAACAUAUAGAACCGCAUGGUUCUAUAGUGAAAGAUGGUUUUGCUAUCACUUAUAGAUGGACCCGCGCCGUAUUAGCUAGUUGGUAAGGUAAUGGCUUACCAAGGCGACGAUACGUAGCCGACCUGAGAGGGUGAUCGGCCACACUGGAACUGAGACACGGUCCAGACUCCUACGGGAGGCAGCAGUAGGGAAUCUUCCGCAAUGGGCGAAAGCCUGACGGAGCANCGCCGCGUGAGUGAUGAAAGGUUUUUCGGAUCGUAAACUCUGNUNNUUNNNGGAAGAACAAAUG